GUUCUGCGCCGAGAGUCCCACAGAUGUGGAUUUCCUCCUCCGUCCUGAUGGGGUUCGGUGUCUUACUGGGACCAUGUGCCUCGCGGUGUUGGAAUUUCAGAAGCAAACACUCUCAGACACACAGCAGGCAAAGGUUUUGCCCGAAGAAAGAGAACUAGGUGGACAGAGGAAACAUUCUAGAGACCUUUGGAGAACACGAAGUCUUCAUCAUACACAGAGAAAUCUCCAACAAUGCUUCCCUCAGGACUCCAAAGUAAAGGCCAGGAACCCACCACGUGAAGACCAGGUACAAAAACAACAGAGCCCAGUGACUGUGGAUUGAAAACCCCAGCUCU
Molecule: long non-coding RNA, 335 nt
Organism: Nannospalax galili (Upper Galilee mountains blind mole rat)
Lineage: Eukaryota; Metazoa; Chordata; Mammalia; Rodentia; Spalacidae
Exons: 3
Source: RefSeq, a predicted model, not a curated record